This 115-nucleotide ribosomal RNA is filed under the name Bacillus licheniformis. RNAcentral also lists the same sequence under 5 other names. The record is from RNAcentral. Lineage: Bacteria; Bacillati; Bacillota; Bacilli; Caryophanales; Bacillaceae.
UGGUGGCGAUAGCGAAGAGGUCACACCCGUUCCCAUGCCGAACACGGAAGUUAAGCUCUUCAGCGCCGAUGGUAGUUGGGGGCUUCCCCCUGUGAGAGUAGGACGCCGCCAAGCU